This 432-nucleotide ribosomal RNA is filed under the name Cryptobacterium curtum. RNAcentral describes it as "bacterial SSU rRNA". It matches the Rfam family "Bacterial small subunit ribosomal RNA", at positions 28 to 459 of the family's 1533-position model. Lineage: Bacteria; Bacillati; Actinomycetota; Coriobacteriia; Eggerthellales; Eggerthellaceae. The record is from RNAcentral.
GAUGAACGCUGGCGGCGCGCCUAACACAUGCAAGUCGAACGAUUAAACCGCCCUUGGGCGGAUAUACAGUGGCGAACGGGUGAGUAACGCGUGACCAACCUUCCCCCCGCAUCGGGACAACCCGGGGAAACCCGGGCUAAUACCGGAUAUGCCGGGUAUGGCGCAUGUCAUACCCAGGAAAGCUUUUGCGGCGGGGGAUGGGGUCGCGUCCCAUCAGGUAGACGGCGGGGUAGUAGCCCACCGUGCCAACGACGGGUAGCCGGGUUGAGAGACCGACCGGCCACAUUGGGACUGAGAUACGGCCCAGACUCCUACGGGAGGCAGCAGUGGGGAAUCUUGCGCAAUGGGGGAAACCCUGACGCAGCGACGCCGCGUGCGGGAUGGAGGCCUUCGGGCCGUGAACCGCUUUCAGCAGGGAAGACAUUAAGGACG